CCUACGGGAGGCUGCAGUGGGGAAUAUUGCACAAUGGGGGAAACCCUGAUGCAGCAACGCCGCGUGAAGGAAGACGGUUUUCGGAUUGUAAACUUCUGUUCUUAGUGAAGAAUAAUGACGGUAGCUAAGGAGCAAGCCACGGCUAACUACGUGCCAGCAGCCGCGGUAAUACGUAGGUGGCAAGCGUUGUCCGGAAUUACUGGGUGUAAAGGGAGCGCAGGCGGGAAGCCAAGUCAGCUGUGAAAACUACGGGCUUAACUUGUAGACUGCAGUUGAAACUGGUUUUCUUGAGUGAAGUAGAGGUUGGCGGAAUUCCGAGUGUAGCGGUGAAAUGCGUAGAUAUUAGGAAGAACACCAGUGGCGAAGGCGGCUUUCUGGACUGAAACUGACGCUGAGGCACGAAAGCGUGGGGAGCGAACAGGAUUAGAUACCCUGGUAGUC
This 441-nucleotide ribosomal RNA is filed under the name uncultured bacterium. RNAcentral describes it as "partial 16S ribosomal RNA". It matches the Rfam family "Bacterial small subunit ribosomal RNA", at positions 338 to 795 of the family's 1533-position model. The record is from RNAcentral.